Long non-coding RNA from Balaenoptera acutorostrata (minke whale), 2081 nucleotides. RefSeq lists it as uncharacterized. Lineage: Eukaryota; Metazoa; Chordata; Mammalia; Artiodactyla; Balaenopteridae. The record is from RefSeq and is a predicted model, not a curated record. The transcript is spliced from 4 exons.
UCCCAGCUGGGAGGGUGGAGACACGAUUUUGAUGCCAACGGUCUGGCUUCAGAGUCCACACUAAGAGGGCCUGGCCCCGCGGAGUCCCAGCGGGAAACAGACGGCACCUUCCAACACGACUGAGGGAUCCGAUUUGGUGACGACCAUGCGGAGUGCCUGCGUGGACCGGCUCCCAGCAUCCUUCCUGCGACCUGAGCAAGUUCUUUCCCAAUGUGAUCAAGCAACAACCAGACGCAGAGGGAGCUGCCCAGUGAGCCACGGAGGAAAAGACCGGUUCCCAGCCACGCGGGCCGUCUUCAGCAGCUGUCACCCAGCCCUGGCUUCACCGUGACCUCAUCUCAUCCUAAUUACCAGGCCCGACCGAGAGACGCAACUCAGACCCCAGUAUCGCGAAGAGUCUGUGAUGGCAAGGCGUGUGGGCCUCUGCCCACGAGGGGCUCUGCCUCCAUCGCUUCUCCAGCAAGCUGGGAGCCACAGGUGGCAGGGAGAGAACCUCUGCCCUCCACCCGGGCUCCCCGACCUCCUCUGACACCCUUCCAAAGCGAGGCAGGAGAAGUUCUACUUAGCCACGUCUCACUAGCGAGCCGCUACUGUGGCUUAACGAUCGUAGCCACGUGGGGUACAUCUCUUAAACUUUGUGCUCCCAGGCAAGGAGCACACCUUUCUAAGGCUGUCCCCUCGGACAGACUUCGGCGACCGUCCUCGCUCUCAGAUCGCUGCAGGACACAGGCCGGCCAAGCUCACCAGUUGGGCGCGUGAGUUGAGGGCGACUUUCUAGACUUGGACACUGUUGAUGGGCGAGGCGUCUGGCUUCCUUCCCUUCAUCCUCUGCUCAGGAGUGUUCAGCAUUUCUAUUUUUAUAAGAGAACCGUGACUGCAAGGUAUUAGCAUAGUCUGAGCUAUUGGCAAUAUGGUACUUUUCUCAUUUUUGCCUGUUACAGCUUGGACGUAGCGCUCCUCUUGUUAGAUCUCCAAAGUGAGAAUGAGCGAGCAGCAGGCCUCUAACUCAGGCCUGAUGCCCUCCUGGGCUUGACCUUGAACGCUGGGUUUUAGGACAUGAAUGGGAGAAUAGACAUGGAUGGGUUAGAGAGGUGAGUACACGCCAGAAAGUAACACGCACUCUUGCCAUCCCGAGGGGUCGGGACUGUCCUGCAGAGUAGCGCUUCUCAGAAUGCGACCCAGAGACCACCUGUACAGAGCAGCCUGACAUGUUUGCCAACAAUGUUAUUCUUGAGCCCCGUUCCCAGGUCUACAGACUCUGAAUCUUUGUGGUGGAUCCAGGACCCCACGUAGUCACAAGAUGCCUGGGUAAUUCUCAAGCGCUCUUUACUUUGAAAACAAUGGCACCAUUGAUUGAGAGGUUCAUUCAAGAACCUAAACCAAGGGAUGACGUAAUCAGAUUGAUCACUUUGGUUGCACUUUGUGGGACGUAUUUUAAAAACUGGAGGCCAGACAAGUGAUUAUCGUAAUACUCCAGGUGAGGAAUGAUGAAGGUCUGAACUGAGCACCAGCGGUGGGGCUGCAGCUACCUGAGGAGGUCAGCUCUGGAGUUUCCAACUUGAGUGAUUGAGUCAAUAAAGGAUAAUUAGGGGGAUUCAAAGGAAAUGUAACUUGCGGAGGAAAAUUCUUAGUUGCUUUAGAUAUGCUGAGUUUGAGGAGCCUGGGGUUACCCCGAGGGGAGCAGUCCAGGGGGAGGUUGGACGGAAGUUUGGACUCAGGAGGAAAUUCUGAACAAAAGAUACAGAGAGACGGGGAAGGAAAUCCUUGGCGCGGAUGUGAUUUCUCAGGAAGUAUUCGAGAGCAAAGAAAAAGCCUGAGGACAAAAUGUUUAGGACUGUCAACAUCAAAGGGCGAAGCAGAAGAAAAGUUGCCUGAUGAAUGGGGCUUAAAAUUAGGGAAAGUAACUUUUUUAAUGUCCAUUUUAUUUUUUUUUAAUUUGAAUACAAAGUGUUUUAAUAAACAAGAAUGUAACCACUGCUAAAUUAUCCAUAUGCUGAGUCAAGGCAAAAAUGUUACCCUGAUUAAAAGAACAUAGACAUGAUAGUCCAUGAAGCCAGUGGGAUGAAGUUAAAAAUAAGAGU